CUCAGAUUGAACGCUGGCGGCAGGCCUAACACAUGCAAGUCGGGCGGUAACAGGGAGAAGCUUGCUUCUCCGCUGACGAGCGGCGGACGGGUGAGUAAUGUAUGGGGAUCUGCCUGAUGGCGGGGGAUAACUACUGGAAACGGUAGCUAAUACCGCAUAAUGUCUUCGGACCAAAGCGGGGGACCUCCGGGCCUCGCGCCAUCAGAUGAACCCAUAUGGGAUUAGCUAGUAGGUGAGGUAACGGCUUACCUAGGCGACGAUCCCUAGCUGGUCUGAGAGGAUGAUCAGCCACACUGGGACUGAGACACGGCCCAGACUCCUACGGGAGGCAGCAGUGGGGAAUAUUGCACAAUGGGCGCAAGCCUGAUGCAGCCAUGCCGCGUGUAUGAAGAAGGCCUUCGGGUUGUAAAGUACUUUCAGUCGGGAGGAAGGUGGUGAGCUUAAUACGCUCAUCAA
RNAcentral lists this ribosomal RNA (456 nucleotides) under Morganella morganii. Its description in RNAcentral is "bacterial SSU rRNA". It matches the Rfam family "Bacterial small subunit ribosomal RNA", at positions 23 to 475 of the family's 1533-position model. The record is from RNAcentral. Lineage: Bacteria; Pseudomonadati; Pseudomonadota; Gammaproteobacteria; Enterobacterales; Morganellaceae.